Molecule: small RNA, 30 nt
Filed under: Bombyx mori (domestic silkworm)
Lineage: Eukaryota; Metazoa; Arthropoda; Insecta; Lepidoptera; Bombycidae
Description: ovarian small RNA-26819
Source: RNAcentral
UCCAGGACCCAAGGUGGCGUCCCAGCCAGU